GCGUAUGUAACCUAGUUUUGUGCCUAGUGUCAUUCAACACACUAAUAAGGUGCAAGGGCUGUAAAUGCACACACUAGUCGCAUGGGCACAUGUGUGGCCAUGCAUGGCCAUAUUACCAUUGCCGGCAAGCCGGUAUUGUCAAGCACACAAGAUAGCAUGAUAGCGGUGCUUGGUUUGGCUACUAUUAGUUGACUUUAUCUUUAGGAAGUUUUAUAACGCCAGUGCUUUGAUAUCCAAAAAUAUCACAUAAGAUCUAUUUCUCAAUCCCACUCUGUGACGAAAUUGAUUUUCUUAGUGUUUUCCCUCACAUAAAUGAUUAUGAACUAUUUGAAUCAUAUUUACGUAUCUUUUCUCAUGAUUUUUGCAUGGCAUUCAAUAUAUAUGGUUUUGUAUGGUAUACAUGGCAUACAUAUUUAGGAUUCUUAAGGUACUUCCAAAUCAAUACGCAUUGGGCUCAUCACUCCAUCCACAUGCUGAGAUUAAAAAAGUGAGACCUCUUACCUCAUAGGGGUAAUAGGUCAUCAAAGUCAUUAACUAAAUGAAGGUAAUAAUUUUGGAAUCAAAACUACUAUUGGCUAAAUUUAGUUGGUUUUUGAAAUCAAAACUACUAGGUCAGCUGAACCGAGUUGGCUCGACUGGGCCUGUUUUCUAUCAUCCGCUGCAACUGUGAUUUUCAGGAUCGUUUAUUUACCCCCUCCCAUCCCUCCCCU
This 710-nucleotide long non-coding RNA is filed under the name Setaria viridis. RNAcentral's name for it is "long non-coding RNA (SVIR_LNC003956)". The record is from RNAcentral. Lineage: Eukaryota; Viridiplantae; Streptophyta; Magnoliopsida; Poales; Poaceae.